RNAcentral lists this ribosomal RNA (460 nucleotides) under uncultured bacterium. RNAcentral describes it as "partial 16S ribosomal RNA". It matches the Rfam family "Bacterial small subunit ribosomal RNA", at positions 338 to 795 of the family's 1533-position model. The record is from RNAcentral.
CCUACGGGGGGCAGCAGUGAGGAAUAUUGGUCAAUGGACGAGAGUCUGAACCAGCCAAGUAGCGUGAAGGAUGACUGCCCUAUGGGUUGUAAACUUCUUUUAUAUGGGAAUAAAAUGUUCCACGUGUGGGUUUUUGUAUGUACCAUAUGAAUAAGGAUCGGCUAACUCCGUGCCAGCAGCCGCGGUAAUACGGAGGAGGCGAGCGUUAUCCGGAUUGACUGGGGGUAAAGGGUGCGUAGGUGGUUUGUCAAGUUAGUAGCGAAACUCCAAGGCUCAACCUUGAAACUACUACUAAUACUGGUAGACUGGAGUGCAGGAGGGGCAAGCGGAAUUCCUAGUGUAGCGGUGGAAUGCGUAGAUAUUAGGAAGAACACCAGUGGCGAAGGCGGGUUGCUAGACUGUAACUGACACUGAGGCACGAAAGCGUGGGGAGCAAACAGGAUUAGAUACCCCUGUAGUC